GCUCCUAUAGUCUAGUGGUUAGGACGUCGGAUUUUGAUUCCGAAAACAUUGGUUCAAUUCCAGUUAGAAGCU
Molecule: non-coding RNA, 72 nt
Organism: Daldinia sp. FL1419
Lineage: Eukaryota; Fungi; Ascomycota; Sordariomycetes; Xylariales; Hypoxylaceae
Source: the annotation of a GenBank genome assembly